AAGUCGUAACAAGGUUUCCGUAGGUGAACCUGCGGAAGGAUCAUUAACGAACGAAGGAUUCUUUAUGAAUCUUUUGGGAUCAACCAAAACCUGUGUGAAUUUAAUUGUAUUUCGAUCAAUACCAUUAUUUGGGUAACCAUUACUUGGUAUAAACGAAUACACUCUUUUAAUAAAUACAAAACUUUCAACAACGGAUCUCUUGGCUCUU
RNAcentral lists this unclassified non-coding RNA (208 nucleotides) under fungal sp. Its description in RNAcentral is "partial internal transcribed spacer region". The stretch from base 1 to 46 matches the Rfam family "Eukaryotic small subunit ribosomal RNA", at positions 1786 to 1831 of the family's 1831-position model. The record is from RNAcentral. Lineage: Eukaryota; Fungi.